RNAcentral lists this ribosomal RNA (817 nucleotides) under uncultured bacterium. Its description in RNAcentral is "bacterial SSU rRNA". It matches the Rfam family "Bacterial small subunit ribosomal RNA", at positions 8 to 796 of the family's 1533-position model. The record is from RNAcentral.
AGAGUUUGAUCCUGGCUCAGGACGAACGCUGGCGGCGUGCCUAAUACAUGCAAGUUGAACGCUGAAGCUUUAACUGAUGCUUGCAUCGACCUAAGUUCUCAGAGUAGCGGACGGGUGAGUAACACGUGGGUAACCUGCCCAUCAGAGGGGGAUAACACUUGGAAACAGGUGCUAAUACCGCAUAAUUCCUUUUACCGCAUGGUAAAAGGCUGAAAGACGCUUCUGGUGUCACUGAUGGAUGGACCCGCGGUGCAUUAGCUAGUCGGUGGGGUAACGGCCUACCGAGGCAAUGAUGCAUAGCCGACCUGAGAGGGUGAUCGGCCACAUUGGGACUGAGACACGGCCCAAACUCCUACGGGAGGCAGCAGUAGGGAAUCUUCGGCAAUGGACGAAAGUCUGACCGAGCAACGCCGCGUGAGUGAAGAAGGUUUUCGGAUCGUAAAACUCUGUUGUUAGAGAAGAACAAGAGAAGUAGUAACUGGCUUCUCCUUGACGGUAUCUAACCAGAAAGCCACGGCUAACUACGUGCCAGCAGCCGCGGUAAUACGUAGGUGGCAAGCGUUGUCCGGAUUUAUUGGGCGUAAAGCGAGCGCAGGCGGUCUUUUAAGUCUGAUGUGAAAGCCCUCGGCUUAACCGAGGAGGGUCAUUGGAAACUGGGAGACUUGAGUGCAGAAGAGGAAAGUGGAACUCCAUGUGUAGCGGUGGAAUGCGUAGAUAUAUGGAAGAACACCAGUGGCGAAGGCGGCUUUCUGGUCUGUAACUGACGCUGAGGCUCGAAAGCGUGGGGAGCAAACAGGAUUAGAUACCCUGGUAGUCC